RNAcentral lists this ribosomal RNA (253 nucleotides) under uncultured bacterium. RNAcentral's name for it is "partial 16S ribosomal RNA". It matches the Rfam family "Bacterial small subunit ribosomal RNA", at positions 524 to 776 of the family's 1533-position model. The record is from RNAcentral.
UACGAAGGGGGCUAGCGUUGCUCGGAAUCACUGGGCGUAAAGGGUGCGUAGGCGGGCUUUUAAGUCAGGGGUGAAAUCCUGGAGCUCAACUCCAGAACUGCCUUUGAUACUGAGGAUCUUGAGUACGGGAGAGGUGAGUGGAACUGCGAGUGUAGAGGUGAAAUUCGUAGAUAUUCGCAAGAACACCAGUGGCGAAGGCGGCUCACUGGCCCGUAACUGACGCUGAGGCACGAAAGCGUGGGGAGCAAACAGG